AAAUGGAUACUAAAAUUAGGAGAU
This 24-nucleotide small nuclear RNA is filed under the name Arabidopsis thaliana (thale cress). RNAcentral describes it as "snRNA_05351". Lineage: Eukaryota; Viridiplantae; Streptophyta; Magnoliopsida; Brassicales; Brassicaceae. The record is from RNAcentral.